Molecule: ribosomal RNA, 535 nt
Filed under: Bifidobacterium longum
Lineage: Bacteria; Bacillati; Actinomycetota; Actinomycetes; Bifidobacteriales; Bifidobacteriaceae
Also listed under: 1 other name
Description: partial 16S ribosomal RNA
Rfam family: Bacterial small subunit ribosomal RNA
Source: RNAcentral
AACGGGUGGUAAUGCCGGAUGCUCCAGUUGAUCGCAUGGUCUUCUGGGAAAGCUUUCGCGGUAUGGGAUGGGGUCGCGUCCUAUCAGCUUGACGGCGGGGUAACGGCCCACCGUGGCUUCGACGGGUAGCCGGCCUGAGAGGGCGACCGGCCACAUUGGGACUGAGAUACGGCCCAGACUCCUACGGGAGGCAGCAGUGGGGAAUAUUGCACAAUGGGCGCAAGCCUGAUGCAGCGACGCCGCGUGAGGGAUGGAGGCCUUCGGGUUGUAAACCUCUUUUAUCGGGGAGCAAGCGAGAGUGAGUUUACCCGUUGAAUAAGCACCGGCUAACUACGUGCCAGCAGCCGCGGUAAUACGUAGGGUGCAAGCGUUAUCCGGAAUUAUUGGGCGUAAAGGGCUCGUAGGCGGUUCGUCGCGUCCGGUGUGAAAGUCCAUCGCUUAACGGUGGAUCCGCGCCGGGUACGGGCGGGCUUGAGUGCGGUAGGGGAGACUGGAAUUCCCGGUGUAACGGUGGAAUGUGUAGAUAUCGGAAAAA